This is a long non-coding RNA of Brienomyrus brachyistius, 1554 nucleotides long. RefSeq lists it as uncharacterized. The transcript has 4 exons. The record is from RefSeq and is a predicted model, not a curated record. Lineage: Eukaryota; Metazoa; Chordata; Actinopteri; Osteoglossiformes; Mormyridae.
GAGUGGAACUCCACAGGAAAUAUGUCAGCUCCACAGGAAACACGUGAUCUUUAAGAACGUAAAGUGGGGCUAAUCUUUACGCCGUAAAAUGGAGCUCCACAGGAAACACGCCAUCUACACUGUAUUUGUACCAAGAGAGAGUCUGGACUAAGUCUUCGAAUCUGAAUUGCCAUUACAUUAAAAGGAACGUUGUUUUAUAAACCAAAUUGUAAACAUGGAUCCCCGUUUAAAAGCGGCUUUGCUUUUUCAAGACAAAAUUAUACGGCGGUGCACACUACCAUGCCGGGACAAGGUACAUUGUCACCCGAACUUGGCUUCCUCCCUACAACUGUGAGCCACUUCAAUCCCUUCCUAAUGAUGCAGAGAGGAAGGACAUUAUUGUGUUCCCACUAUGGACUCCUGGGCAUUUUUAGCUUUGUGUAUGUAGGAGCACAUCAAUACCAUACAAUACACUUAACCGAAUAAAAGCCCAAAAGUCUGAGGAUGUUAGGAUUUUAAGAUUUUAUUGUAAUUGUGUCAGUUACAUCUUGGUACAGCUUUACGCAUUUUAAGCCAUGGGCAACUACUGUGAAUCAUUGACUGACUGUUAUUGCAAUGGCAUUGCUUAACACCUUGAGUAACUGUCUCUUAGGUGAUGAAGCCAGGUAUAAAAGAAAUGUUCUUUCUCGACUCAUGAUGUGCUAAGAAAAGGACAUGAUUUGGUGGCCACCAAUAUGUGUCACUCUUGAGGUCAAUUUUCUGUUUAUGUUAGUGUGCAGGAACCUGUUCAGUGUUCCAGGUUAAGUACAUUUUAGAUCACGUUCUGAUCUAUUUUAUUAGCAUGUCUUCAGUUUAUUCAGUGAAUUCACAUGCUUACUUGACAGACCUGUACUGUGGAGUGCAGCCUUUUGAUUAAAAGGUGAUACAUCAGAUGUUAAAUCAGAUAUUUAAAUAAUAGUAUUAAAAUACCUAGAAGAUGAGUUCUGACAGUAGAAUUGGUUUAUCCGAUAUAGUUACCAAAUUAUGUCAUUAAAUUGUCGUUAUAAUUGGGCAGUGCAGUUCAGUCUGAAUAAAUGUGUCAGCUAAAUGCUGUAAAUGUUAAAAUAUGAUGAAACAGAAAUUACAAAACUUCUGUAGAGGUUGAUCAAGACUAAGCAUAUGGAUGUACUUUCGGGUCAGUCCAUGCCAAAUCAACCAGGGGCUCCAUGGGCAUCAUUCCUGAUUUUGAUGAAAACUUGGUAUUUAAAAUUCGAUCCUUAUAGAGAACACUGAAAAUUCCCCAAGUUUUAUUGAAAAAUUCUGAUGCAGUCCAAAGUUAUGGCCCUUUCAAAUUUGGGUGCCACGCCCCUUUUUUGCACUCGCGAAUCACGCAUGUAAUUUGUAAGGGUUUUCAAGAGACCAUAUGUUCGCUUCUAAGCAUGCUAGAGAGCUGAAAAUUGCUCUCCUGGUAUACUUUUCCCUGCUCUUUCAGAAUCUGGCAUUAAAAUUAAGCUCACGGGAAGCACUUCAAAGCUAUGGACUUGCAAAAAUCAGUUUUUGGUUCACUUUGGACUGCAUCUGAAUUUUUCAAUAAAA